Molecule: transfer RNA, 73 nt
Filed under: Anaerolinea sp.
Lineage: Bacteria; Bacillati; Chloroflexota; Anaerolineae; Anaerolineales; Anaerolineaceae
Also listed under: 4 other names
Description: tRNA-Thr
Rfam family: tRNA
About the family: Transfer RNA (tRNA) molecules are approximately 80 nucleotides in length. Their secondary structure includes four short double-helical elements and three loops (D, anti-codon, and T loops).
Source: RNAcentral
GCCCGCGUAGCUCAGUCGGUAGAGCACGUUCUUGGUAAGAACGGGGUCAUCGGUUCAAGUCCGAUCGUGGGCU